GACGAACGCUGGCGGCGUGCUUAACACAUGCAAGUCGAACGGAAAGGCCCUGCUUUUGUGGGGUGCUCGUUUGGCGCACGGGUGAGUAACACGUGAGUAACCUGCCCUUGUCUUUGGGAUAACUUCAGGAAACUGGGGCUCAUACCGGAUAGGAGCUCCUGCUGCACGGUGGGGGUUGGAAAGUUUCGGCGGUUGGGGAUGGACUCGCGGCUUAUCAGCUUGAUGGUGGGGUAGGGGAUUACCAAGGCUUUGAAGGGUAGCCGGCCUGAGAGGGGGACCGGCCACAUUGGGACUGAGAUACGGACCAGACGCGUACGGGAGGCAGCAGUGGGGAAUAUUGCAGAACGGGCGGAAGCCUGAUGCAGCAGCGCCGCGUGCGGGAUGACGUCCUUUGGGUGGUAAACCGCUGUCGCCUGUGACGAAGCGUGAGUGACGGUAAUGGAUAAAGAAGCACCGGCUAACUACGUG
This 468-nucleotide ribosomal RNA is filed under the name uncultured bacterium. Its description in RNAcentral is "partial 16S ribosomal RNA". It matches the Rfam family "Bacterial small subunit ribosomal RNA", at positions 28 to 507 of the family's 1533-position model. The record is from RNAcentral.